Molecule: transfer RNA, 65 nt
Filed under: Megamonas funiformis
Lineage: Bacteria; Bacillati; Bacillota; Negativicutes; Selenomonadales; Selenomonadaceae
Rfam family: tRNA
About the family: Transfer RNA (tRNA) molecules are approximately 80 nucleotides in length. Their secondary structure includes four short double-helical elements and three loops (D, anti-codon, and T loops).
Source: RNAcentral
AGGAUAGUUCAAUUAGGUAGAACAUUAGUUUUCCAAACUAAAGAUAUAGGUUCGAUUCCUAUUCG